GUGUGCCAAGCCCCCAUGGGCCGUGCCAAUGCUGCACAGUCUGCUCUGUUGGUGCCCAGAACGAGAUGGUUGUGGGAGGCAGAGCUGGCUGAGCACCUUAGCAAAUCUGCUUUCCCUGGCAGCAUCCUGUGUGCCUGGAGGUGCCCCCAGCCUGCCCUCCCAGGGAUCUGCAGAGGGAACAUGCCCUGCUGGAUGAACAAGAAUCUUUCAGGAGGAUAA
RNAcentral lists this long non-coding RNA (219 nucleotides) under Cyanistes caeruleus (blue tit). RNAcentral describes it as "lncRNA (ENSCCEG00000015224.1)". Lineage: Eukaryota; Metazoa; Chordata; Aves; Passeriformes; Paridae. The record is from RNAcentral.